RNAcentral lists this ribosomal RNA (497 nucleotides) under uncultured Glomus. RNAcentral describes it as "SSU rRNA". It matches the Rfam family "Eukaryotic small subunit ribosomal RNA", at positions 591 to 1092 of the family's 1831-position model. The record is from RNAcentral. Lineage: Eukaryota; Fungi; Glomeromycota; Glomeromycetes; Glomerales; Glomeraceae.
CCAAUAGCGUAUAUUAAAGUUGUUGCAGUUAAAAAGCUCGUAGUUGAAUUUCGGGAUCAAUUUGUUGGUCGUGCCUCGGUACGUACUGGCAUUAUUGGUUUCUACCUUCUGAAGAACCUUGAUGUCAUUAAUUUGGUGACUUGGGGAAUCAGGACUGUUACUUUGAAAAAAUUAGAGUGUUUAAAGCAGGAAUACGCUUGAAUACAUUAGAAUGGAAUAAUGAAAUAGGACGUUUGAUUCUAUUUUGUUGGUGUCUAGGAUCGACGUAAUGAUUAAUAGGGAUAGUUGGGGGCAUUAGUAGUCAAUUGUCAGAGGUGAAAUUCUUGGAUUUAUUGAAGACUAACUACUGCGAAAGCAUUUGCCAAGGAUGUUUUCAUUAAUCAAGAACGAAAGUUAGGGGAUCGAAGACGAUCAGAUACCGUCGUAGUCUUAACCAUAAACUAUGCCGACUAGGGAUCGGAUGAUGUUAUUUUUAAUGACUCAUUCGGCGCCUUACG